RNAcentral lists this long non-coding RNA (476 nucleotides) under Medicago truncatula (barrel medic). RNAcentral describes it as "long non-coding RNA (MTRU_LNC005715)". Lineage: Eukaryota; Viridiplantae; Streptophyta; Magnoliopsida; Fabales; Fabaceae. The record is from RNAcentral.
AUGAAUCUUUCUUUUCUAACAUGGAUUGUUUUUAGUUUGUUGUUUGUAAAAGUUUUUGACUAUGUUUGGAUAAACAAUUUAAUGAAGUGUUUAUCACAUGAGUGCUUAUGCAUAAGCUAUUCCUAUAACGAAAGAUAAAAUAAAAUAAAAUUGUUUUCAUAUUUACCAUAGUUUGUUUUCAGAAAUUAUCAUGAAAAGUUUAUGAAAAUAAGUUGAAAACAACGGAUGAAAAUAUAAAUUAUUUUCAUAAGUUCUAUCAAUUAGUCUCACAAAUGCUUAUACUAUUAGAUGAGCUCAAAUAAGUUAAUCCAAAUAGACAUUUGGUGUGAUGUGAUAAUUAGUAUAACGACUAUUUUUCCUUGCAUUGGUUUCCCUAGCCUUGGGUACCUAUCUUUGACUAUGGAGGUCAUUUCAUUAAUUAUAAUUUUUUGCUUAUGCUCAUAAAAUGUUUUCUCUAUUCAGCUAAAAAAUGCAGG